AUAUUACUGAGUGCGUACUCUCAAUAAUGAAUAAUGUUGAACUCAAUAUGGUAUGCCUUUUUCCAGCAGAUAAAACAACUUUUGUGCUAUUUAAUUCAACAAGAGGUCACAGCCUUUCCUGUAGACUUAUUUUCUGAUGCAGGUUGACCAGAUGUGUGUUUGACAUUGAUACACAUGUGCAAUGGUCUAGAGAUGUAUCUUCAGGCUGUGCCAAUGCUGCUGGUAUUGUAUACUGUUGAUCUGAUAGUAGAGCUGGAAGAAGGUAAAACAUGAAAAAUUAACUUGUGACCUUUGUUACAAAUUGAAAGAAUUGCCCCAAAGAGUCCUUGUUUUGAAGAAGACUGAACACUAUUUGACUUUUUACUGCCAGUCUCAGCUGAAAUCAGGAUUAGAACAUCUGUCCUGUCUCUAGCUGGAAAUUCUGGACAACAGAACAACUGGAUGCAUUCAUGUAUACUAAACGUUAAAGACUGAUAUAUGUGCUCUUUUGUUGUUAGAUAUUCAUUAUUUUUAAUACAAUUAAAGUGGUCUGUAAAUACAUCAUGCAAUGAUUUCCUGUCAGAUUUUGUUCUGGAGGAGUGAUGGAAACUGAGCAGCUGUAAUGGAUUGUCAGCACAGCAGUUGAAUGCCAGCCAGCUGACAAAAGUGUCCAAAUAUACCUCUCUCUGAUGACAAAAUGUUCUUGACAUCUGAAUAAUUCCUAUGUUAACUGUAGCAGAAAAAUCACAUAAGAAGCAAUAGAAGCACAGAGGAGUUGGCAGUGAUAAACCAGACACAGUGACUGCAGUGAUGUCUGUGUGCAUGCUAGGAAAUUGAAUCAGACCACUCCGGGGGAUUCCUUUAUUAUUUGCUAUUCACACACUGGCACCCACACUUUCUCAGCUGCUGGCAAUAAGAUAACGUCAAUGCGCAUAUGGUAACGAGGCUUCCUGCAAGGAAGUAAGAAGCAACAUUUCCCAACAACCCCCAAAUGGAUGUUAUCUAAUAAAAAGAGUUCCAGCGCUUCAAUAUCAAAUGUGUUCCUUCCCUUUCAGUAGGGUGAUCCAGUUUUGUCAGCUACAAGGGACAGAUUUGGAUUUUAGAAUGCUCUGUGGGCUGUGUUUGGUUCUUAUUGCUGAGAGUGGGGGGAGUAACACAAAGAGCUGACUUGCACUGCUGGGAUGUGGAUGGAGCCGUAUGUGUAACUAGGGGCAAGAGGUGAAGGCUUCCCUCAUGUCACACUUUGCUGUGAGGUCUACCAUGACUUGUGACAAACUGGGAGGCAUUUGUGUCCAAACCAAGCUCAUGGGGCAAGAUGCCUUACUUGUCCUUGGGUAUGAGUGAGCAAGUCAAGGCUGCUAGCUGGACAGACCAUGGUUAUUAGGACCAUGCAUGUUUAAAUCAAGGAGAACAAAAAAUCAUACA
Coturnix japonica (Japanese quail) is the source of this 1404-nucleotide long non-coding RNA. RefSeq lists it as uncharacterized. NCBI's taxonomy places the organism in Eukaryota, Metazoa, Chordata, Aves, Galliformes, Phasianidae. The record is from RefSeq and is a predicted model, not a curated record.